Molecule: ribosomal RNA, 254 nt
Filed under: uncultured bacterium
Lineage: Bacteria
Description: partial 16S ribosomal RNA
Rfam family: Bacterial small subunit ribosomal RNA
Source: RNAcentral
UACGUAGGGUGCGAGCGUUGUCCGGAAUUAUUGGGCGUAAAGAGCUCGUAGGCGGUGUGUCGCGUCGGUCGUGAAAACCUGCAGCUUAACUGUGGGCUUGCGGUCGAUACGGGCAUCACUGGAGUUCGGCAGGGGAGACUGGAAUUCCUGGUGUAGCGGUGAAAUGCGCAGAUAUCAGGAGGAACACCGGUGGCGAAGGCGGGUCUCUGGGCCGAUACUGACGCUGAGGAGCGAAAGCGUGGGGAGCGAACAGG